This 87-nucleotide transfer RNA is filed under the name Nanoarchaeum equitans Kin4-M. It matches the Rfam family "tRNA". Rfam says of the family: Transfer RNA (tRNA) molecules are approximately 80 nucleotides in length. Their secondary structure includes four short double-helical elements and three loops (D, anti-codon, and T loops). Further hydrogen bonds mediate the characteristic L-shaped molecular structure. tRNAs have two regions of fundamental functional importance: the anti-codon, which is responsible for specific mRNA codon recognition, and the 3' end, to which the tRNAs corresponding amino acid is attached (by aminoacyl-tRNA synthetases). tRNAs cope with the degeneracy of the genetic code in two manners: having more than one tRNA (with a specific anti-codon) for a particular amino acid; and 'wobble' base-pairing, i.e. permitting non-standard base-pairing at the 3rd anti-codon position. Lineage: Archaea; Nanobdellati; Nanobdellota; Candidatus Nanoarchaeia; Nanoarchaeales; Nanoarchaeaceae. The record is from Rfam by way of RNAcentral.
GGGGCCGUAGCUCAGCCAGGCAGAGCGGCGGAUUCGAAGCCGAAGCUCCAGACCCGUAGGUCGGGGGUUCGAAUCCCCCCGGCCCCA